RNAcentral lists this ribosomal RNA (681 nucleotides) under uncultured bacterium. RNAcentral describes it as "bacterial SSU rRNA". It matches the Rfam family "Bacterial small subunit ribosomal RNA", at positions 28 to 745 of the family's 1533-position model. The record is from RNAcentral.
AACGAACGCUGGCGGCAGGCCUAACACAUGCAAGUCGAACGUGAAGCCACCUUCGGGUGGUGGAAAGUGGCAGACGGGUGAGUAACGCGUGGGAACGUGCCUUUCGGUUCGGGAUAACCCAGGGAAACUUGGGCUAAUACCGGAUACGCCUUCGGGGGAAAGAUUCAUCGCCGAAAGAUCGGCCCGCGUCGGAUUAGCUUGUUGGUGGGGUAAAAGCCUACCAAGGCGACGAUCCGUAGCUGGUCUGAGAGGAUGAUCAGCCACACUGGGGACUGAGACACGGCCCAGACUCCUACGGGAGGCAGCAGUGGGGAAUAUUGGACAAUGGGCGCAAGCCUGAUCCAGCCAUGCCGCGUGGGUGAAGAAGGCCCUAGGGUUGUAAACCCCUUUCAGCGGGGAAGAUAAUGACGGUACCCGCAGAAGAAGCCCCGGCUAACUCCGUGCCAGCAGCCGCGGUAAUACGGAGGGGGCUAGCGUUGUUCGGAAUUACUGGGCGUAAAGCGCGCGUAGGCGGAUCUGCAAGUCGGGGUGAAAUCCCGAGGCUCAACCUCGGAACUGCCUUCGAUACUGCGGAUCUCGAGUCCGAGAGAGGUGAGUGGAAUUCCUAGUGUAGAGGUGAAAUUCGGUAGAUAUUAGGAAGAACACCAGUGGCGAAGGCGGCUCACUGGCUCGGUACUNACG